CUAAGUGGGAAACGAAGUGGGAAGGCUAAAACAGUCAGGAGGUUGGCUUAGAAGCAGCCACCCUUUAAAGAAAGCGUAAUAGCUCACUGAUCGAGUCGUCCUGCGCGGAAGAUGUAACGGGGCUAAGCUAUAUACCGAAGCUGCGGAUGCGUGCUUGCACGCAUGGUAGGAGAGCGUUCCGUAAGCCUGCGAAGGUGCGUUGAAAAGCGUGCUGGAGGUAUCGGAAGUGCGAAUGCUGACAUGAGUAGCGAUAAAGGGGGUGAAAGGCCCCCUCGCCGUAAGCCCAAGGUUUCCUACGCAACGUUCAUCGGCGUAGGGUGAGUCGGCCCCUAAGGCGAGGCAGAAAUGCGUAGCUGAUGGGAAGCAGGUCAAUAUUCCUGCACCAUUGUUAGAUGCGAUGGGGGGACGGAUCGCGGAAGGUUGUCCGGGUGUUGGAAGUCCCGGUCGCUGCAUUGGAGAAGGCACUUAGGCAAAUCCGGGUGCGCAAUUCAAGGGUGUGGCGCGAGCUUCUUCGGAAGCGAAGCAAUUGGAAGUGGUUCCAAGAAAAGCCUCUAAGCUUCAGUCUAACGAUGACCGUACCGCAAACCGACACAGGUGGGCGAGAUGAGUAUUCUAAGGCGCUUGAGAGAACUCGGGAGAAGGAACUCGGCAAAUUGGUACCGUAACUUCGGGAUAAGGUACGCCCUUGUAGCUUGACUGGCCUGCGCCAGGAGGGUGAAGGGGUUGCAAUAAACUGGUGGCUGCGACUGUUUAAUAAAAACACAGCACUCUGCAAACACGAAAGUGGACGUAUAGGGUGUGACGCCUGCCCGGUGCCGGAAGAUUAAAUGAUGGGGUGCAAGCUCUUGAUUGAAGUCCCGGUAAACGGCGGCCGUAACUAUAACGGUCCUAAGGUAGCGAAAUUCCUUGUCGGGUAAGUUCCGACCUGCACGAAUGGCGUAACGAUGGCCACACUGUCUCCUCCCGAGACUCAGCGAAGUUGAAGUGUUUGUGAUGAUGCAAUCUACCCGCGGCUAGACGGAAAGACCCCAUGAACCUUUACUGUAGCUUUGCAUUGGACUUUGAACCGAUCUGUGUAGGAUAGGUGGGAGGCUAUGAAACCGGAACGCUAGUUUCGGUGGAGCCGUCCUUGAAAUACCACCCUGGUUUGUUUGAGGUUCUAACCUUGGCCCGUGAUCCGGGUCGGGGACAGUGCAUGGUAGGCAGUUUGACUGGGGCGGUCUCCUCCCAAAGCGUAACGGAGGAGUACGAAGGUACGCUAGGUACGGUCGGAAAUCGUGCUGAUAGUGCAAUGGCAUAAGCGUGCUUAACUGCGAGACCGACAAGUCGAGCAGGUGCGAAAGCAGGUCAUAGUGAUCCGGUGGUUCUGUAUGGAAGGGCCAUCGCUCAACGGAUAAAAGGUACUCUGGGGAUAACAGGCUGAUACCGCCCAAGAGUUCAUAUCGACGGCGGUGUUUGGCACCUCGAUGUCGGCUCAUCUCAUCCUGGGGCUGUAGCCGGUCCCAAGGGUAUGGCUGUUCGCCAUUUAAAGAGGUACGUGAGCUGGGUUUAAAACGUCGUGAGACAGUUUGGUCCCUAUCUGCCGUGGGCGUUGGAUAUUUGAAGGGGGCUGCUCCUAGUACGAGAGGACCGGAGUGGACGAACCUCUGGUGUACCGGUUGUCACGCCAGUGGCAUCGCCGGGUAGCUAUGUUCGGAAGAGAUAACCGCUGAAAGCAUCUAAGCGGGAAACUCGCCUUAAGAUGAGAUAUCCCUGGGGACUAGAUCCCCUUGAAGGGUCGUUCGAGACCAGGACGUUGAUAGGUCAGGUGUGUAAGCGCAGUAAUGCGUUCAGCUAACUGAUACUAAUUGCCCGUAAGGCUUGAUCCU
Molecule: ribosomal RNA, 1868 nt
Filed under: Burkholderia cepacia
Lineage: Bacteria; Pseudomonadati; Pseudomonadota; Betaproteobacteria; Burkholderiales; Burkholderiaceae
Description: partial 23S ribosomal RNA
Rfam family: Bacterial large subunit ribosomal RNA
Source: RNAcentral